Molecule: ribosomal RNA, 492 nt
Filed under: uncultured Bacteroidota bacterium
Lineage: Bacteria; Pseudomonadati; Bacteroidota
Description: bacterial SSU rRNA
Rfam family: Bacterial small subunit ribosomal RNA
Source: RNAcentral
GCUUGCUUUUUGCUGACGAGUGGCGAACGGGUGCGUAACGCGUAUGCAACCUACCUUCUUCUGAGGAAUAGCCCAGAGAAAUUUGGAUUAAAACCUCGUGAUAAUAUUUAUUCGCAUGUUUAAAUAUUUAAAAUUUCGAUGGAAGAAGAUGGGCAUGCGUAACAUUAGUUUGUUGGUGAGGUAAUGGCUCACCAAGACUACGAUGUUUAGGGGGUCUGAGAGGAUGAUCCCCCACACUGGUACUGAGACACGGACCAGACUCCUACGGGAGGCAGCAGUGAGGAAUAUUGGUCAAUGGACGAAAGUCUGAACCAGCCAUGCCGCGUGAAGGAUGACUGCCCUACGGGUUGUAAACUUCUUUUGUAUAGGAAGAAACCCCUCUACGUGUAGAGGGUUGACGGUACUAUUCGAAUAAGCACCGGCUAACUCCGUGCCAGCAGCCGCGGUAAUACGGAGGGUGCGAGCGUUAUCCGGAAUUAUUGGGUUUAAAGG